AGUGAACGCUGGCGGUAGGCCUAACACAUGCAAGUCGAACGGCAGCACAGUAAGAGCUUGCUCUUACGGGUGGCGAGUGGCGGACGGGUGAGGAAUACAUCGGAAUCUACUUUUUCGUGGGGGAUAACGUAGGGAAACUUACGCUAAUACCGCAUACGACCUACGGGUGAAAGCAGGGGAUCUUCGGACCUUGCGCGAUUGAAUGAGCCGAUGUGGGAUUAGCUAGUUGGCGGGGUAAAGGCCCACCAAGGCGACGAUCCGUAGCUGGUCUGAGAGGAUGAUCAGCCACACUGGAACUGAGACACGGUCCAGACUCCUACGGGAGGCAGCAGUGGGGAAUAUUGGACAAUGGGCGCAAGCCUGAUCCAGCCAUACCGCGUGGGUGAAGAAGGCCUUCGGGUUUUAAAGCCCUUUUGUUGGGAAAGAAAAGCAGCAGGUUAAUACCCCGCUGUUCUGACGGUACCCAAAGAAUAAGCACCGGCUAACUUCGUG
Molecule: ribosomal RNA, 492 nt
Filed under: uncultured bacterium
Lineage: Bacteria
Description: partial 16S ribosomal RNA
Rfam family: Bacterial small subunit ribosomal RNA
Source: RNAcentral